GUGUGGUCCAAAAGAGUGAGGGACAGAACAAAAAAGUAUUAUAUUAUGCUCUGGUAUUGCCAAGUGUGGGGAAAAACAAGCCUCCCUUGCCGGCCACUGAAAUGGUCACAAACAUGCAUACUGUUCCGACCCUAUCAUUCUGGCUCAUGGAGUUCAGAAGAAAGUUGUCUCACAUCACAAGGCGACGCAUCUCCCAGGUCGAAACUGACUAUAGUUGGGCUCUGAUGAAUAGCGUAAUAUUAUCCUUUAACCAGGAGGAUGUUACAAUGUAUCUUGCCGGUGCCCACCAAAUAGUCUGUCAGAGGAAACCAACGUCCCGCUCCUUUACUGUGCUGCAUUUGUGCUCUGCACAUAUCAUCAAGGCAGUGUCGCAGGCCAUUGGGAAGCACAUUAAAGACCAUGGCAUUGUGGAGUAUGCAAUGUUUUGUUUUGCGCUACUCCUGAACUCCACAGUAAUGUCAACUGCAAUGGACGUGUUCUACCGCAUGUGUGUGGUUUUUGAUGCAGAAAAGCACACACAUGCAGUUAAAUGCAGCAAAAUGCACCUGGACUCCUGCAUCCUACGAUCCAGCUCAAUAAUGUCCGAAGAACCCAGCUGUGUAAUGCCCAGGAGUGACACCACAACAUUGACGACUGAGGACCUUGAAGCCUUACUGGAUCAUUGUACAUCGUAGUGCAAUGAUGUUACUGUGCAUGGUGGAGUCAAGCUAGCCAAAUGAUCUAUGAUAAAUCAUAUGUUGUCUGCUGCACAGUAGACUGUGUACCUCAUUAUGUCAACACAAUACAAUAGAUUACAGUCUAACCUAAUGCUUAAUUACACUCUAAAUGCUGUGACAUAACAAGUGAAACAUUCAUGUGGAAAUGUGUCAAUAAAAUGUAAUGAAAACAUUGUUUAAAAAUAUUGCAGUUUAAAAUGUAACAGAAUCAUUUGUAAAUAAUUACUGAAGUAACCAACGUAAGUGUAGUAUAAUACUUGAGAUAGUAAUUUUAGUAAAUAAGAAUGUAAAGAAAUAAUUACAUCAUAAUUGUAAUGAUUGAACAAUUGAUCAUCCAAUAAAUACAGUAAAACCUUGAAAAUCAAAAUUAGUGUGUCUCUGUAAUGAAGUGACCAUAUAACAGCAAAAAAAGUUCACUUGUAGUGGCAUGAAUAUUCAUUAACUAUACACUUUCAGUUCUAUGAAUCAAUUUUCUUUUUUUAAUCUACAUAUCUUGUGCAUAAUUAAUGCGUAAUAAUACAAACCUAAUGUCAUUUUUGUUCUGUCAUCCAAUUUAGAGAAUACUUUCUCAUGAGAAGAACAUGCCAUGGAAAAACCGAAUGGGUUGAUGUGAAGUGGCAUGGAGCAGUUUUGCAUCACCCACUUCAAGAAGACGGCUACAGCUGUGGCAUCAUAAUUAUAAAGAUUGCACAAGCUAUAAUGAAGUCCUUCCCUGAGAUCCCUGACGUCAAUUUCAAAACCUCAAAAGAGGAAAUGAAAAAAGGGAGAAUUCAUCUCGCUCACAAAAUCCUUCAGGAAUCAGUGUUUGAUGAGAACACCUGCUGUGCAAUGUGUGCAGAUAGACGACCCCCGGGGUCAGGACCUCCCCUUACAAACUGGGU
This is a long non-coding RNA of Synchiropus splendidus (mandarinfish), 1597 nucleotides long. RefSeq lists it as uncharacterized. The transcript is spliced from 3 exons. NCBI's taxonomy places the organism in Eukaryota, Metazoa, Chordata, Actinopteri, Syngnathiformes, Callionymidae. The record is from RefSeq and is a predicted model, not a curated record.